UACGUACGGUGCGGGCGUUGUCCGGAUUUAUUGGGCGUAAAGAGCUCGUAGGCGGUUUGUCGCGUCGGCCGUGAAAUCUCCACGCUUAACGUGGAGCGUGCGGUCGAUACGGGCAGACUUGAGUUCGGUAGGGGAGACUGGAAUUCCUGGUGUAGCGGUGAAAUGCGCAGAUAUCAGGAGGAACACCGGUGGCGAAGGCGGGUCUCUGGGCCGAUACUGACGCUGAGGAGCGAAAGCGUGGGGAGCGAACAGG
This 253-nucleotide ribosomal RNA is filed under the name uncultured bacterium. RNAcentral describes it as "partial 16S ribosomal RNA". It matches the Rfam family "Bacterial small subunit ribosomal RNA", at positions 524 to 776 of the family's 1533-position model. The record is from RNAcentral.